UACGGGGGGAGCAAGCGUUGUUCGGAUUUACUGGGCGUAAAGGGCGCGUAGGCGGCGUAACAAGUCACUUGUGAAAUCUCCGGGCUUAACCCGGAGCGGCCAAGUGAUACUGCUUUGCUAGAGUGCAGAAGGGGCAAUCGGAACUCUUGGUGUAGCGGUGAAAUGCGUAGAUAUCAAGAGGAACACCUGAGGUGAAGACGGGUUGCUGGGCUGACACUGACGCUGAGGCGCGAAAGCCAGGGGAGCAAACGGG
RNAcentral lists this ribosomal RNA (253 nucleotides) under uncultured bacterium. Its description in RNAcentral is "partial 16S ribosomal RNA". It matches the Rfam family "Bacterial small subunit ribosomal RNA", at positions 524 to 776 of the family's 1533-position model. The record is from RNAcentral.